Long non-coding RNA from Drosophila willistoni, 229 nucleotides. RefSeq lists it as uncharacterized. The record is from RefSeq and is a predicted model, not a curated record. NCBI's taxonomy places the organism in Eukaryota, Metazoa, Arthropoda, Insecta, Diptera, Drosophilidae. The transcript is spliced from 3 exons.
GGUGCCCUGUUCGGUUCUAGGCAUCCCUUGAUGAUGUGGCGCAGUAUCUAUAUGUGAAAAUUUAUUCUGGAUUUGCUGUUGAUUAACUAUAUAUGUGCAUAUGUGGAGUUCGAUUGUUUAUCAUCUCAUAUUUGGGGGAUGUUUGAAUCCCUCUUCGACCAUUUCGAUUGAACUGAUUGCAAUGUUCCAAUAAAUUGCCAAAUGUACAUUAAUAUUAUUUCCAAUUAAA